Molecule: ribosomal RNA, 254 nt
Filed under: uncultured bacterium
Lineage: Bacteria
Description: partial 16S ribosomal RNA
Rfam family: Bacterial small subunit ribosomal RNA
Source: RNAcentral
CACGUAGGGUGCGAGCGUUGUCCGGAAUUAUUGGGCGUAAAGAGCUCGUAGGCGGUGUGUCGCGUCGGCCGUGAAAACUUGCAGCUUAACUGUGGGCGGGCGGUCGAUACGGGCAUCACUGGAGUUCGGCAGGGGAGACUGGAAUUCCUGGUGUAGCGGUGAAAUGCGCAGAUAUCAGGAGGAACACCGGUGGCGAAGGCGGGUCUCUGGGCCGAUACUGACGCUGAGGAGCGAAAGCGUGGGGAGCGAACAGG